This 497-nucleotide ribosomal RNA is filed under the name uncultured bacterium. RNAcentral describes it as "partial 16S ribosomal RNA". It matches the Rfam family "Bacterial small subunit ribosomal RNA", at positions 27 to 507 of the family's 1533-position model. The record is from RNAcentral.
GGGGGGGGGGGGGGGGGGGGGGGGGGGGGGCGGGGGGGGGGGGCGGACGAGAAGCUGGCUUCUCUGAUGUUAGCGGCGGACGGUGGGGUAACGCGUGGGUAACCUACCUCUAAGACUGGGCUAACUUCGGGAAACCGGAGCUGAUACCGGCUAAUAUUUUGCACCGCAUUGUUCCAAAGUGACAGACGGUCUUGCUGUCACUUAUAGAUUGAUCCGCGCUGCAUUAGCUAGUUGGUAAGGUAACGGCUUACCAAGGCAACGAUGCAUAGCCGACCUGAGAGGGUGAUCGGCCACACUGGAACUGAGACACGGUCCAGACUCCUACGGGAGGCAGCAGUAGGGAAUCUUCCGCAAUGGGCGAAAGCCUGACGGAGCAACGCCGCGUGAGUGAUGAAGGUCUUCGGAUCGUAAAACUCUGUUAUUAGGGAAGAACAUAUGUGUAAGUAACUGUGCACAUCUUGACGGUACCUAAUCAGAAAGCCACGGCUAACUACGUG